AAUGAACGCUGGCGGCGCGCCUAAUACAUGCAAGUCGAGCGAGAAGACGUAGCAAUACGUUUGUAAAGCGGCGAACGGGUGAGGAAUACAUGGGUAACCUACCCUCGAGUGGGGAAUAACUAGCCGAAAGGUUAGCUAAUACCGCGUACGCUUCUUGGACUUCGGUUCAGGGAGGAAAGCGAUACCGUGGGUAUCGCGCUCUUGGAUGGGCUCAUGUCCUAUCAGCUUGUUGGUGAGGUAACGGCUCACCAAGGCUUCGACGGGUAGCUGGUCUGAGAGGACGAUCAGCCACACUGGCACUGCGACACGGGCCAGACUCCUACGGGAGGCAGCAGUAAGGAAUAUUGCGCAAUGGGCGAAAGCCUGACGCAGCGACGCCGCGUGGGGGAUGAAGGUCUUCGGAUUGUAAACCCCUUUCGGGAGGGAAGAUGGGAAUGGGUAACCCAGUUCGGACGGUACCUCCAGAAGCAGCCACGGCUAACUUCGUGCCAGCAGCCGCUGU
Molecule: ribosomal RNA, 502 nt
Filed under: uncultured bacterium
Lineage: Bacteria
Description: bacterial SSU rRNA
Rfam family: Bacterial small subunit ribosomal RNA
Source: RNAcentral